This 389-nucleotide RNase P RNA is filed under the name Emticicia oligotrophica DSM 17448. RNAcentral's name for it is "RNA component of RNaseP". It matches the Rfam family "Bacterial RNase P class A". Rfam says of the family: Ribonuclease P (RNase P) is a ubiquitous endoribonuclease, found in archaea, bacteria and eukarya as well as chloroplasts and mitochondria. Its best characterised activity is the generation of mature 5'-ends of tRNAs by cleaving the 5'-leader elements of precursor-tRNAs. The record is from RNAcentral. Lineage: Bacteria; Pseudomonadati; Bacteroidota; Cytophagia; Cytophagales; Leadbetterellaceae.
AAAAUAAGCUGUCUUAUCGCGGUUUAUUAAUAACUGAGGAAAGUCCGAACAGCAUAGAGCAUCAUGCUACCUAACGGGUAGGAGAUAAUUGGGUGACUAAUUAUUUACAGCCAGUGCAACAGAAAACAAACUACCGUAGUAAUGCGGAAAAGGUGAAAAGGUAGGGUAAGAGCCUACCGCUCGGUUGGUGACAAACGAGGCAUGGUAAACCUCAUGAGCUGAAAGACCAAAUAAACCGGCGUUUCGUUGAGCAUUUGCUCGGCGUUAAGAGCUGCUCGUUCGAGUCGGAGGGUAGGUUGAUAGAGGCAAGUAGUGAUACUUGUUCGAGAUAAAUGAUAAGAAUAGUUUUUAUAACUAUACAGAAUUCGGCUUACAGGCUUAUUUUUCUU